UACGUAGGGGGCUAGCGUUGUCCGGAAUCAUUGGGCGUAAAGCGCGUGUAGGCGGCCCGGUAAGUCCGCUGUGAAAGUCCAGGGCUCAACCCUGGGAUGCCGGUGGAUACUGUCGGGCUCGAGUCCGGAAGAGGCGAGUGGAAUUCCUGGUGUAGCGGUGAAAUGCGCAGAUAUCAUGAGGAACGCUAGUGGCGUAGGCGAGACUCUGGACAGUUCCUGACGCUGAGGCACGAAGGCCAGGGGAGCAAACGGG
This 253-nucleotide ribosomal RNA is filed under the name uncultured bacterium. RNAcentral describes it as "partial 16S ribosomal RNA". It matches the Rfam family "Bacterial small subunit ribosomal RNA", at positions 524 to 776 of the family's 1533-position model. The record is from RNAcentral.